Molecule: non-coding RNA, 291 nt
Organism: Pelobates cultripes (western spadefoot toad)
Lineage: Eukaryota; Metazoa; Chordata; Amphibia; Anura; Pelobatidae
Source: the annotation of a GenBank genome assembly
GUCUCCACUCCUUCAAAAAUAAAAAAAUCUUUGAAAACUUGUUUAGGAAAGCCUAUCCAUUUUAACGGUCAACAGCGUUUUCUUCCCGCACCACUUCCUCUCCUGCAAUUGUCAUCAAAACAAAACACUAAGCCCUCAGUGAAUACUAUCAUAGCAACCUACUUUUCUACCCUACCCUUACAUUUUGUGUCUCUUUACCCUCUCCCUCUAGCAUGUAAGCUCAUUGAGCAGGGCCUUCAGUCCCUCUGUUCCUGUCUGUCUAACUUGUCUGUUAGUUCACCCAUUGUACAG